AUGGGACUAGAUAUCAUAGCAUACAUCAUACAUAGACCAACCCGCUGUAACCGAUGACAUCGAUGCCGCGUUAAGUGAGGAUGGACACCGCCAAAAGACCAAAACGAGCUUUUGCUCAAGCCGAGCUGGGUGUGUGACUCUCACAUCCGUGGGCAGAGUUAGAAUUUUUCUUAGUGCGGUAGGUAGAGCUGCUUUUCACGAACAGAAAGUGAAAAAAGACUCCCCUUUUGAACUCUACAGCAAAAGAAGGGGGUAUUCUUGAGCAAGCACACCAUAUAGCUACGUGAGCG
This 290-nucleotide unclassified non-coding RNA is filed under the name Hevea brasiliensis (rubber tree). Lineage: Eukaryota; Viridiplantae; Streptophyta; Magnoliopsida; Malpighiales; Euphorbiaceae. The record is from RNAcentral.